This 714-nucleotide long non-coding RNA is filed under the name Bos mutus (wild yak). RNAcentral describes it as "lncRNA (ENSBMUG00000026837.1)". The record is from RNAcentral. Lineage: Eukaryota; Metazoa; Chordata; Mammalia; Artiodactyla; Bovidae.
GGGUCUCACAACAAACAUCCUUUUUAUUUGACCCAUCACAAGGCAUUUCACAAAAUCUUUAUUUGGUGUAAUGUAACUUUAGAAUUUCUCAGUUUAAAAGAUAACUGCUAUGUUACUAAUUUACGUAGAGUGGUAGAGAGGAUUAUUGACUAUUUGCAGAAUGAAGAGUUCAGAGAGGAAAUAAAUGAAGAAGUGAAAUGACGAAGACGAUAAAGGAGCAAGGAAUUUUUAUUUGGUGAGGACUAGAAAUGCGAGGAUGCCUGUACAAUAAAUAAUUAUUAUAGAACCAAUUGUUCUGUUGAUUUUUAAAAUAAUUUCUUGCAUUUUUCUGAUCUGAUUUGUAUCCUAUGUGAUGUUUUGUUGCAGGUCAAAGGCUAGAACAAGUUAUCAUACUUACAGGGAGGAAAGAAGGACUGAAAUGAGGGCCUCUACUUCAGAGAACAGGGGUGAAGUUGCCAGGCAUGACUGUCCGUCACCCAGGAGACAAAGCCCCACCCAUAAAGUGGUGACUCGAGGCGCAAGGGAGUCCGGCGAGAAGUGUGGCGGGCCCAGGUUGCUGCCAGUUCUUUUAGGAUCACCGAGCAGGGUACGCCUUCCCCUGCCCCAAGAUGUGUCAUGGAUUUCGGCUUUUCUGGGACUACCUGAGUGGCUGUAAGUAUGGGGGGACCGUUCCUCUUGCUGAGAAGCCUGGGGGCUCUGAGUUCCCCUGGGUUC